GAUGAACGCUGGCGGCGUGCCUAAUACAUGCAAGUCGAACGAAACUUCUUUAUCACCGAGUGCUUGCACUCACCGAUAAAGAGUUGAGUGGCGAACGGGUGAGUAACACGUGGUCAACCUGCCCAAAAGAGGGGGAUAACACUUGGAAACAGGUGCUAAUACCGCAUAACCAUAGUUACCGCAUGGUAACUAUGUAAAAGGUGGCUAUACUACCGCUUUUUGAUGGGCCCGCGGCGCAUUAGCUAGUUGGUAGGGUAAAGGCUUACCAAGGCAAUGAUGCGUAGACGAAUUGAGAGGUUGAUCGGCCACAUUGGGACUGAGAAACGGCCACAACUCCUACGGGAGGCAGCAGUAGAGCAUCUACCACAAUGGGCGAAAGCCUGAUGGAGCAACGCCGCGUGGGUGAAGAAGGUCUUCGGAUCGUAAGACCCUGUUGUUAGAGAAGAAAGUGCGUGAGAGUAACUGUUCACGUUUCGACGGUAUCUAACCGGAAAGCCACGGCUAACUACGUG
RNAcentral lists this ribosomal RNA (512 nucleotides) under uncultured bacterium. RNAcentral describes it as "partial 16S ribosomal RNA". It matches the Rfam family "Bacterial small subunit ribosomal RNA", at positions 28 to 507 of the family's 1533-position model. The record is from RNAcentral.